Molecule: ribosomal RNA, 255 nt
Filed under: Clostridioides difficile
Lineage: Bacteria; Bacillati; Bacillota; Clostridia; Peptostreptococcales; Peptostreptococcaceae
Description: partial 23S ribosomal RNA
Rfam family: Bacterial large subunit ribosomal RNA
Source: RNAcentral
CCCAAACCAAUAAAGUUUUCUUUAUUGGGGUUGCGGACAUAUCAUAACGAAGAGGUAUCGUAAUUGAAGAGGUUUGGAAAGACCCACCACAGAAGGUAAUAGUCCUGUAUGUUAAACGAGAAGACUUCAGAUAUGAUCCAGAGUACCACGGGACACGUGAAACCCUGUGGGAAGCAGGAGGGACCACCCUCCAAGGCUAAAUACUACCUAGUGACCGAUAGCGUAUAGUACCGUGAGGGAAAGGUGAAAAGAACC